This 490-nucleotide ribosomal RNA is filed under the name uncultured soil bacterium. RNAcentral's name for it is "bacterial SSU rRNA". It matches the Rfam family "Bacterial small subunit ribosomal RNA", at positions 26 to 518 of the family's 1533-position model. The record is from RNAcentral.
AGAUUGAACGCUGGCGGCAUGCCUUACACAUGCAAGUCGAACGGCAGCACGGGAGCAAUCCUGGUGGCGAGUGGCGAACGGGUGAGUAAUACAUCGGAACGUGCCUAGUAGUGGGGGAUAGCCCGGCGAAAGCCGGAUUAAUACCGCAUACGACCUACGGGUGAAAGCGGGGGAUCGCAAGACCUCGCGCUAUUGGAGCGGCUGAUGUCAGAUUAGGUAGUUGGUAGGGUAAAAGCCUACCAAGCCGACGAUCUGUAGCUGGUCUGAGAGGACGACCAGCCACACUGGGACUGAGACACGGCCCAGACUCCUACGGGAGGCAGCAGUGGGGAAUUUUGGACAAUGGGCGCAAGCCUGAUCCAGCCAUGCCGCGUGCGGGAAGAAGGCCUGGUGUAACCGCUUUGUCAGGAAGAAACGCACUGGCCAAUAUCCUGGUGUAAUGACGUACCGUGAAGAAUAAGACACCGGCUAACUACGUGCCAGCAGCCGA